This 279-nucleotide long non-coding RNA is filed under the name Elaeis guineensis (African oil palm). RNAcentral's name for it is "long non-coding RNA (EGUI_LNC055710)". Lineage: Eukaryota; Viridiplantae; Streptophyta; Magnoliopsida; Arecales; Arecaceae. The record is from RNAcentral.
UUAGAUUGAAUCCUUAGAGUCCAUUUUUACUAAAAUUUUCUCUCCUCAUGGCCGAUCUGAAGUGAAUUUCAGUGCAGGGGUAAAACGAUAAUUUUAAAACUUUUUCAAAAUUAUAAUUUUACAGUGAAAAUUAUUAAUUAAUCUAAUUAAUUAAUAUAUAUUAACCCUACACAAGGAUCUAAAUAUGAUAUAUAUAGCAUGCAUUUAAAUUUGAAAUUUUGAAUUCUACAGUAAACAUUUUACUGUUAUGUGUUCAGAAUACAUUACCUUCAUGCAGGU